AACUGAAAACUGAGCAAAGAAAACAGCAAGGUUGUGAUUGAACAGUUUUCAGUUUUCACAUAAAAAUAUAGGAACGGCAAAAAUAAAACGCAUUAAAACUACUGUUAUGAGGGUUAUGGGUUAGUGAGCCGGCCUUUGUUGCCCACUAAAAAAAAAAGAAAAGGUUUGUUAAACAGAGAAAAUAGUAAUAAUAAGGCUUGGGCUUUCUGGAUUUUAGGGUUUGUUUAAUCUCCUCAACCA
This 240-nucleotide long non-coding RNA is filed under the name Brassica napus (rape). Its description in RNAcentral is "long non-coding RNA (BNAP_LNC000363)". Lineage: Eukaryota; Viridiplantae; Streptophyta; Magnoliopsida; Brassicales; Brassicaceae. The record is from RNAcentral.